This 244-nucleotide ribosomal RNA is filed under the name uncultured bacterium. Its description in RNAcentral is "partial 16S ribosomal RNA". It matches the Rfam family "Bacterial small subunit ribosomal RNA", at positions 524 to 766 of the family's 1533-position model. The record is from RNAcentral.
UACAGAGGGUGCAAACGUUGUUCGGAAUUACUGGGCGUAAAGCGCGUGUAGGCGGCUAAGUAAGUCGGGCGUGAAAUCCCACGGCUCAACCGUGGAAGUGCACUCGAAACUGCAUAGCUAGAGUCCUGGAGAGGAAGGUGGAAUGCUUGGUGUAGAGGUGAAAUUCGUAGAUAUCAAGCGGAACACCGGUGGCGAAGGCGGCCUUCUGGACAGUGACUGACGCUGAGACGCGAAAAGCGUGGGG